AUUGAACGCUGGCGGCAUGCCUUACACAUGCAAGUCGAACGGCAGCGCGGGCUUCGGCCUGGCGGCGAGUGGCGAACGGGUGAGUAAUGCAUCGGAACGUGCCCAGUAGUGGGGGAUAGCCCAGCGAAAGCCGGAUUAAUACCGCAUACGACCUGAGGGUGAAAGCGGGGGACCGAAAGGCCUCGCGCUAUUGGAGCGGCCGAUGUCGGAUUAGCUAGUUGGUGGGGUAAAGGCUUACCAAGGCGACGAUCCGUAGCUGGUCUGAGAGGACGACCAGCCACACUGGGACUGAGACACGGCCCAGACUCCUACGGGAGGCAGCAGUGGGGAAUUUUGGACAAUGGGGGCAACCCUGAUCCAGCCAUGCCGCGUGCGGGAAGAAGGCCUUCGGGUUGUAAACCGCUUAUGUUCGGGAAGAAAUCCUCUGGGCUAAUACCCCGGGGGGAUGACGGUACCGGAAGAAUAAGCACCGGCUAACUACGUG
RNAcentral lists this ribosomal RNA (484 nucleotides) under uncultured bacterium. Its description in RNAcentral is "partial 16S ribosomal RNA". It matches the Rfam family "Bacterial small subunit ribosomal RNA", at positions 29 to 507 of the family's 1533-position model. The record is from RNAcentral.